RNAcentral lists this transfer RNA (73 nucleotides) under Candidatus Curtissbacteria bacterium RIFCSPHIGHO2_01_FULL_41_44. Its description in RNAcentral is "tRNA-Thr". It matches the Rfam family "tRNA". From Rfam's summary of the family: Transfer RNA (tRNA) molecules are approximately 80 nucleotides in length. The record is from RNAcentral. RNAcentral also lists the same sequence under 5 other names. Lineage: Bacteria; Candidatus Curtissiibacteriota.
GCCGACGUAGCUCAGUGGUUAGAGCACCUGUUUUGUAAACAGGGUGUCGUGAGUUCGAAUCUCACCGUCGGCU